CCUACUUCCGGGUUUGACACGAAGUUCCCCUUAGAUAAUGCGAGUGCAAGCGGGAAGGCUCAAUUUAAAAUUUGUAAAGUCUUUGAUCAUCCGAGUUGUAAUCUAGAGAAGUGUCUUCCGCGCCGGACCAUGCAUAAGUCUCCUGGAACGGAGCGUCAUAGAGGGUGAGAAUCCCGUCUUUGGCAUGGAACCUCCCGGGGCUUCUGUGAUGCACUCUCGAAGAGUCGAGUUGUUUGGGAAUGCAGCUCAAAAUGGGUGGUGAACUCCAUCUAAAGCUAAACAUUGGCGAGAGACCGAUAGCGAACAAGUACCGUGAGGGAAAGAUGAAAAGCACUUUGGAAAGAGAGUGAAACAGUACGUGAAAUUGUUGAAAGGGAAACGCUUGGAGUCAGUCACGUUGACCGAGACUCAUCCAUUGCCCCUUCGGGCUUGGUGUACUUCUCGGCUGAUGGGCCAGCAUCAAUUUUGUCCCUCAGAUAAUGGCAGGGGAAAGGUGGCACCCUUAUGGGUGUGUUAUAGUCCCCCGUCGCAUGUGAGGGAUGGGAUUGAGGAACUCAGCACGCGCCUCUUGGUGUCCGGGGCUUUGGCCCACGCUUACGUGCUUAGAUGCUGGCAUAAUGGCUCUAAACGACCCGUCUUGAAACACGGACCAAGGAGUCUAACAUGCCUGCAAGUGUUCGGGUGGAAAACCCGUGCGCGAAAUGAAAGUGAAAGUUGGGACCUUCUGUCGUGGAGGGCACUGAACGCCCGGACCAGACCUUUCUGUGACGGAUCUGCGGUAGAGCAUGCAUUGUUUGGGGACCCGAAAGAUGGUGAACUAUUGCCUUGAAUAGGUGAAAGCCAGAAGGAAAACUUCUGGGUGGAAGCUCGUAAGCCGAUUCCUGAACGUUGCCAAUUCCGAUUCGUUCAAUUUUGGGUAUAUGAGGUGCGCG
This 932-nucleotide ribosomal RNA is filed under the name Russula sp. G4278. Its description in RNAcentral is "eukaryotic LSU rRNA". It matches the Rfam family "Eukaryotic large subunit ribosomal RNA", at positions 1 to 929 of the family's 3401-position model. The record is from RNAcentral. Lineage: Eukaryota; Fungi; Basidiomycota; Agaricomycetes; Russulales; Russulaceae.